CAUUGAAACAUCAGUUCUCAUACGUUUACUGAAGUUAAGCGAUAUCCAGCCUGGCCAGUACCUAGAUGGCUGACCCUGUGGGAAUACCAGGUACUGCAA
Non-coding RNA from Acanthosepion pharaonis, 99 nucleotides. Lineage: Eukaryota; Metazoa; Mollusca; Cephalopoda; Sepiida; Sepiidae. The record is from the annotation of a GenBank genome assembly.